CUUGGUCAUUUAGAGGAAGUAAAAGUCGUAACAAGGUCUCCGUAGGUGAACCUGCGGAGGGAUCAUUACAAGUGACCCCGGUCUAACCACCGGGAUGUUCAUAACCCUUUGUUGUCCGACUCUGUUGCCUCCGGGGCGACCCUGCCUUCGGGCGGGGGCUCCGGGUGGACACUUCAAACUCUUGCGUAACUUUGCAGUCUGAGUAAACUUAAUUAAUAAAUUAAAACUUUUAACAACGGAUCUCUUGGUUCUGGCAUCGAUGAAGAACGCAGCGAAAUGCGAUAAGUAAUGUGAAUUGCAGAAUUCAGUGAAUCAUCGAAUCUUUGAACGCACAUUGCGCCCCCUGGUAUUCCGGGGGGCAUGCCUGUUCGAGCGUCAUUUCACCACUCAAGCCUCGCUUGGUAUUGGGCAACGCGGUCCGCCGCGUGCCUCAAAUCGACCGGCUGGGUCUUCUGUCCCCUAAGCGUUGUGGAAACUAUUCGCUAAAGGGUGUUCGGGAGGCUACGCCGUAAAACAACCCCAUUUCUAAGGUUGACCUCGGAUCAGGUAGGGAUACCCGCUGAACUUAAGCAUAUCAAUAAGCGGAGGAAAAGAAACCAACAGGGAUUGCUCUAGUAACGGCGAGUGAAGCAGCAAUAGCUCAAAUUUGAAAUCUGGCGUCUUCGACGUCCGAGUCGUAAUUUGUAGAGGAUGCUUCUGAGUAACCACCGACCUAAGUUCCUUGGAACAGGACGUCAUAGAGGGUGAGAAUCCCGUAUGCGGUCGGAAAGGUGCUCUAUACGUAGCUCCUUCGACGAGUCGAGUUGUUUGGGAAU
This 815-nucleotide small RNA is filed under the name uncultured Davidiella. RNAcentral describes it as "eukaryotic LSU rRNA". The stretch from base 533 to 815 matches the Rfam family "Eukaryotic large subunit ribosomal RNA", at positions 1 to 281 of the family's 3401-position model. Lineage: Eukaryota; Fungi; Ascomycota; Dothideomycetes; Cladosporiales; Cladosporiaceae. The record is from RNAcentral.